RNAcentral lists this ribosomal RNA (491 nucleotides) under uncultured bacterium. RNAcentral describes it as "partial 16S ribosomal RNA". It matches the Rfam family "Bacterial small subunit ribosomal RNA", at positions 29 to 507 of the family's 1533-position model. The record is from RNAcentral.
AGUGAACGCUGGCGGUAGGCCUAACACAUGCAAGUCGAACGGCAGCACAGUAGAGCUUGCUCUUACGGGUGGCGAGUGGCGGACGGGUGAGGAAUACAUCGGAAUCUACUUUUUCGUGGGGGAUAACGUAGGGAAACUUACGCUAAUACCGCAUACGACCUACGGGUGAAAGCAGGGGAUCUUCGGACCUUGCGCGAUUGAAUGAGCCGAUGUCGGAUUAGCUAGUUGGCGGGGUAAAGGCCCACCAAGGCGACGAUCCGUAGCUGGUCUGAGAGGAUGAUCAGCCACACUGGAACUGAGACACGGUCCAGACUCCUACGGGAGGCAGCAGUGGGGAAUAUUGGACAAUGGGCGCAAGCCUGAUCCAGCCAUACCGCGUGGGUGAAGAAGGCCUUCGGGUUGUAAAGCCCUUUUGUUGGGAAAGAAAAGCAGCAGGUUAAUACCCCGCUGUUCUGACGGUACCCAAAGAAUAAGCACCGGCUAACUUCGUG